GACGAACGCUGGCGGCGUGCUUAACACAUGCAAGUCGAACGGAAAGGCCCUGCUUGCAGGGUACUCGAGUGGCGAACGGGUGAGUAACACGUGGGUGAUCUGCCCUGCACUUCGGGAUAAGCCUGGGAAACUGGGUCUAAUACCGGAUAGGAGCCAUCUUUAGUGUGAUGGUUGGAAAGUUUUUUCGGUGUAGGAUGAGCUCGCGGCCUAUCAGCUUGGUGGUGGGGGAAUGGCCUACCAAGGCGGCGACGGGUAGCCGGCCUGAGAGGGUGGACGGCCCAAUUGGGACUGAGGUACGGCCCAGACUCCCACGGGAGGCAGCAGGGGGGAAUAUUGCACAAUGGGCGCAAGCCUGAUGCAGCGACGCCGCGUGGGGGAUGACGGCCUUCGGGUUGGAAACUCCUUUCGCUAGGGACGAAGCUUUUUGUGACGGUACCUAGAAAAGAAGCACCGGCUAACUACGUG
RNAcentral lists this ribosomal RNA (465 nucleotides) under uncultured bacterium. Its description in RNAcentral is "partial 16S ribosomal RNA". It matches the Rfam family "Bacterial small subunit ribosomal RNA", at positions 28 to 507 of the family's 1533-position model. The record is from RNAcentral.